AUGUAAAGAGCGUUGAAGAAUAGACCGAUUGGACGUUGGGCCUGGCUCUCGCCAAUCAGCAAUCCACUCACCAGCAACAUCACUAAUUAUUUUACUAAAUGAGAGUCGUAAACCCCGAGGGUCUCAAGUUCAAACGGUUCCAACACACAAAAUUGGAAGACCUGGAAAUUGUUAUUUUCUUCUUCUUUUCAUCUUUUGAUGGUACAAAGAUGAAACAGUACAUUCACGCAAGCAGAAGAUGAUCCGGAGAGAACCACAUCGUCCUGACGCCACCUGUCUGCAGCAGCUGCUGGAGUACAUGUUGCACUAUAGAGUGUUGGAAGAGAUGUGAUACACUAACAUUCGAUCGCGAUGGAAAAAAAGAAGAAAAAAAAACGUCACGGUUUCUUGGAUUUAAUUUAGUACAUUCGAUACGGCCCCUCCUUUUCUCACGCGGGAUAUUUGAAUGCGUCUUUUAGGUCUACCUUUUCCCGGCAAUGGGCGGUGUUUUCCGAAAAGUUCUCCACGUAAAACAUUUAAAAAAUGAUUCGUCGACCGCGACGGCAAGAAAUUAAAAGAAACGGAGUUGAUCCAGCCGCAAUGGGUUGAACGAUGUAAUAUCGUCAGACAGCAGCAAUAAACCAGGAUCGGUAGAGGAGACAAAAGGGCAACAACCCGUUAGUGAAUUUCAAAUUGGCCGUGAUGUCGGCCUGCGAAUUCUCUGCCACCUGGAAUUGACGCUGUCGAGAUGGAAAUGAGGACUCGAUGAUGCUAGAAUGUUUAAUGAGAUGAGGAAUGCCAGCCAAUUUCUUCGGUCCAGCCCUGAGCUGGCCGGCCGUUCGACGUAGGAACCCAUCCACCAGGUCAAGAUCGCCAAUGUCAACCACUUCCAGGUCCUGCUGGGAUCCCAAUCCGGUCC
RNAcentral lists this long non-coding RNA (898 nucleotides) under Daphnia pulicaria. Its description in RNAcentral is "uncharacterized LOC124326787, transcript variant X1". Lineage: Eukaryota; Metazoa; Arthropoda; Branchiopoda; Diplostraca; Daphniidae. The record is from RNAcentral.